UGUGUCAUCCUGUCAUAUUAUCACAAUCACCAAGUCUCUGAGAAACCAUAUACUAUUGAGGGCAAAGAAAAUAUUGUCAAAAAUUGAUGGCCAAAUGGUUGGCUUAUUCCAGCUUUUAGCUUGCCUAAGUAUUCAGGGUAGUCUGGUACAGGGGCUUCAUCUCAGGUUGUCAGAUCAUGGUGCUAAUUCAUAAGCAGCUGGGCUUCUGUGGUGACAGCCAUAGAACUAAAGCAAAGAUGACACCAUUGUUCUUAGCCAGAAA
Molecule: long non-coding RNA, 262 nt
Filed under: Pan troglodytes (chimpanzee)
Lineage: Eukaryota; Metazoa; Chordata; Mammalia; Primates; Hominidae
Description: long non-coding RNA NONPTRT000575
Source: RNAcentral